RNAcentral lists this ribosomal RNA (395 nucleotides) under uncultured bacterium. Its description in RNAcentral is "bacterial SSU rRNA". It matches the Rfam family "Bacterial small subunit ribosomal RNA", at positions 997 to 1393 of the family's 1533-position model. The record is from RNAcentral.
ACCUAAGAGAUUAGGCGUUCCCUUCGGGGACGGAAUGACAGGUGGUGCAUGGUUGUCGUCAGCUCGUGUCGUGAGAUGUUGGGUUAAGUCCCGCAACGAGCGCAACCCUUAUUGUCAGUUGCCAGCAUUUAGUUGGGCACUCUGGCGAGACUGCCGGUGACAAACCGGAGGAAUGCGGGGAUGACGUCAAAUCAUCAUGCCCCUUAUGACCUGGGCUACACACGUGCUACAAUGGGUGGUACAACGAGCAGCGAGACCGCGAGGUCAAGCGAAUCUCUAAAAACCAUCCUCAGUUCGGAUUGCAGGCUGCAACUCGCCUGCAUGAAGCUGGAAUCGCUAGUAAUCGCGGAUCAGCACGCCGCGGUGAAUACGUUCCCGGGUCUUGUACACACCGA